CCAUUUAGAGGAAGUAAAAGUCGUAACAAGGUUUCCGUAGGUGAACCUGCGGAAGGAUCAUUACCGAGACAGCGGGCAACCGCACAUCUCCACCCUUGAAUAUACAUAUAUAUGUUGCUUUAGCGGGCCGUUAGGGCCUUCCUAGCCCGGCUCCGGCCGGUCGUGCCCGCUGAAGACACCCCCAACCCUGAAUUUUAGUGUCGUCUGAGUACUAUCUAAUAGUUAAAACUUUCAACAACGGAUCUCUUGGCUCUGGCAUCGAUGAAGAACGCAGCGAAAUGCGAUAAGUAAUGUGAAUUGCAGAAUCCAGUGAAUCAUCGAAUCUUUGAACGCACAUUGCGCCCCGUGGCAUUCCGCGGGGCAUGCCUGUUCGAGCGUCAUUACAACCACUCCAGCCCUCGCUGGGUCUUGGGCCCCGCCAGCUGGCGGGCCUUAAAUGCCGUGGCGGUCCUGCCAGGCUCUUAGCGUAGUACUGCUCUCGCUAUAGGGUCCUGGGAGCGGCUGGCCAACAACCCCAAUUCUUUCAGGUUGACCUCGGAUCAGGUAGGGAUACCCGCUGAACUUAAGCAUAUCAAUAA
Molecule: ribosomal RNA, 578 nt
Filed under: Chlorovibrissea sp. PDD70070
Lineage: Eukaryota; Fungi; Ascomycota; Leotiomycetes; Helotiales; Vibrisseaceae
Description: eukaryotic LSU rRNA
Rfam family: 5.8S ribosomal RNA (bases 227-380)
Source: RNAcentral